AACAAGCCAACAACAAUACUUAUUGUAGCACUGACUUUUUGAAGGCAAAUGGCCCCACAGCCAUGCUUGAGGUAUUGGAUAUUUUUCUCCAUGCUGCAAAAGCUGCAACUCCUGAGAUCCCAAUAUGGAGMGUGGCUAAUGUGGAACAUGUGAGGAAGGAGCUGCAGCCUCCCUCCCCCAGAGCAUGGUGUGGCUCAUCACUGCUCUCAGCUGUGGCUGACAGUAACCCAGCCCCACCUGUGGAACAUGCCCAGCCCAGCCUGGCACAGCUGGGAGUGAUUCAGACCAUUUGGGCUGUGAGAGAAGGAGGAACAAAGCACAAGGGGUGCACAGAGCAGCAGGAGGACAAGGACAAGUUUUGUUGUARGUUCUGCCUUUGAAAGGCUGGUGUAGAGCAGGAGGAGAGCUGUGAGAGUGCUACUUCAAAGUGCUGCUUCAAAGUGCUGCUUGGGCCACUCACAGUGAGGAAGAGGAAGGAGCAACCCCUGUUGWGAAUMCAAGYAUUCUGCACUGGGACCUGCAAGAGYAGCUGGAAGCCUCUGGGAAACAAGGAUUUCAGGAUGCUUGUCUGCAGUGUCUUAUUGCAGUUACUACUGAUGGGUAAUGAAACCAACUUGAAGAAGAGCUGUGAAAAUGUGCCCUGUGCCUUCCUUUGUGUCAGCAGCAGCUGGAGAGAUUUCAUCCCCAUUCAUGGAAGUGGCCUCAGGAAACUGGCUUCAUUGCUUGGGUUGUUUCUUUCCAAGGAACU
Long non-coding RNA from Malurus melanocephalus (red-backed fairy wren), 748 nucleotides. RefSeq lists it as uncharacterized. The transcript has 3 exons. The record is from RefSeq and is a predicted model, not a curated record. NCBI's taxonomy places the organism in Eukaryota, Metazoa, Chordata, Aves, Passeriformes, Maluridae.